This 425-nucleotide long non-coding RNA is filed under the name Nicotiana benthamiana. RNAcentral's name for it is "long non-coding RNA (NBEN_LNC016781)". The record is from RNAcentral. Lineage: Eukaryota; Viridiplantae; Streptophyta; Magnoliopsida; Solanales; Solanaceae.
UGAUAAGGAUUUAAACUUGUUAACUACUUCUAAUACUCUUUCUUUUACUAAAUUAUCUAUUAAUCACAUUAACACUUGUACUAAUCUCAAUAUAACUGAACGUACCUCUACAUCUUACUCUGUUAAUGAUAACAAAUUUGCUAAGCUAUUUCAAAAGUACUAAUGAUAACCGCUCCUUAAUUAGACAACCGUCAAACCCUACUUCACCUCCUCCCACACCCACUAAAGUAUCACUACAACCAAUUAAUCACACGGCCUAAUUAGAAAAUUGUCACACAAUAACACCUAUCAUAAUACAUGCAAAGAGCCAAGUUGCAAGUUCCCACAUGCAAGAAAUACCACAUUUCUCAAACAUUACUACUAACUCAGACACAACACAUAACCUACAACAAAACACACCCAAUACAAACAAAAGUGAAUCAAGC